GCACCACAACAGGUGGAGCCUGCGGUUUAAUCGGGACUCAACGCCGGGAAACUCACCAAGAUAAGACAGCUGAAUGAUAGUCGGGCUGAAGACUCUACUUGACUAGCUGAGAGGAGGUGCAUGGCCGUCGUCAGUUCGUACUGUGAAGCAUCCUGUUAAGUCAGGCAACGAGCGAGACCCACGCCAACAGUUGCCAGCUCGUCUCCGGGAUGGUGGGGACACUGUUGGGACCGCCUCUGCCAAAGAGGAGGAAGGGAUGGGCAACGGUAGGUCAGCAUGCCCCGAAUUAUCUGGGCUACACGCGGGCUACAAUGGGUGGGACAAUGGGUAUCGACACCGAAAGGUGAAGGCAAUCUCCUAAACCCAUCCGUAGUUCGGAUUGUGGGCUGCAACUCGCCCACAUGAAGCUGGAAUCUGUAGUAAUCGUGUCUCAAAAUGGCACGGUGAAUAUGUCCCUGCUCCUU
Molecule: ribosomal RNA, 464 nt
Filed under: uncultured Methanomicrobiales archaeon
Lineage: Archaea; Methanobacteriati; Methanobacteriota; Methanomicrobia; Methanomicrobiales
Description: bacterial SSU rRNA
Rfam family: Archaeal small subunit ribosomal RNA
Source: RNAcentral